RNAcentral lists this ribosomal RNA (254 nucleotides) under uncultured bacterium. RNAcentral describes it as "partial 16S ribosomal RNA". It matches the Rfam family "Bacterial small subunit ribosomal RNA", at positions 524 to 776 of the family's 1533-position model. The record is from RNAcentral.
UACGUAGGGGGCAAGCGUUAUCCGGAUUUACUGGGUGUAAAGGGAGCGUAGGUGGUAAGGCAAGCCAGAAGUGAAAGCCCGGGGCUCAACCCCGAGGAUUGCUUUUGGAACUGUCGAACUAGAGUGCAGGAGGGGCAAGCGGAAUUCCUAGUGUAGCGGUGAAAUGCGUAGAUAUUAGGAGGAACACCAGUGGCGAAGGCGGAUUGCUGGACUGUAACUGACACUGAGGCACGAAAGCGUGGGGAGCAAACAGG